UACGUAGGGUGCGAGCGUUAAUCGGAAUUACUGGGCGUAAAGCGUGCGCAGGCGGUCAGUUAAGUCUGAUGUGAAAGCCCCGGGCUCAACCUGGGAAUGGCAUUGGAAACUGGCUUGCUGGAGUGUGGCAGAGGGGGGUGGAAUUCCGCGUGUAGCAGUGAAAUGCGUAGAUAUCGGAAGGAACAUCAGUGGCGAAAGCGGCUUCCUGGACCAGUACCGACGUUCAGGCACGAAAGCGUGGGGAGCAAACAGG
RNAcentral lists this ribosomal RNA (253 nucleotides) under uncultured bacterium. RNAcentral's name for it is "partial 16S ribosomal RNA". It matches the Rfam family "Bacterial small subunit ribosomal RNA", at positions 524 to 776 of the family's 1533-position model. The record is from RNAcentral.